GGAAUAUUGCACAAUGGGCGCAAGCCUGAUGCAGCCAUGCCGCGUGUAUGAAGAAGGCCUUCGGGUUGUAAAGUACUUUCAGCGGGGAGGAAGGGAGUAAAGUUAAUACCUUUGCUCAUUGACGUUACCCGCAGAAGAAGCACCGGCUAACUCCGUGCCAGCAGCCGCGGUAAUACGGAGGGUGCAAGCGUUAAUCGGAAUUACUGGGCGUAAAGCGCACGCAGGCGGUUUGUUAAGUCAGAUGUGAAAUCCCCGGGCUCAACCUGGGAACUGCAUCUGAUACUGGCAAGCUUGAGUCUCGUAGAGGGGGGUAGAAUUCCAGGUGUAGCGGUGAAAUGCGUAGAGAUCUGGAGGAAUACCGGUGGCGAAGGCGGCCCCCUGGACGAAGACUGACGCUCAG
This 400-nucleotide ribosomal RNA is filed under the name Shouchella clausii. Its description in RNAcentral is "bacterial SSU rRNA". It matches the Rfam family "Bacterial small subunit ribosomal RNA", at positions 358 to 750 of the family's 1533-position model. The record is from RNAcentral. Lineage: Bacteria; Bacillati; Bacillota; Bacilli; Caryophanales; Bacillaceae.